Molecule: ribosomal RNA, 497 nt
Filed under: uncultured bacterium
Lineage: Bacteria
Description: partial 16S ribosomal RNA
Rfam family: Bacterial small subunit ribosomal RNA
Source: RNAcentral
GAUGAACGCUGGCGGCGUGCCUAAUACAUGCAAGUCGAGCGAACGGACGAGAAGCUUGCUUCUCUGAUGUUAGCGGCGGACGGGUGAGUAACACGUGGAUAACCUACCUAUAAGACUGGGAUAACUUCGGGAAACCGGAGCUAAUACCGGAUAAUAUUUUGAACCGCAUGGUUCAAAAGUGAAAGACGGUUUUGCUGUCACUUAUAGAUGGAUCCGCGCUGCAUUAGCUAGUUGGUAAGGUAACGGCUUACCAAGGCAACGAUGCAUAGCCGACCUGAGAGGGUGAUCGGCCACACUGGAACUGAGACACGGUCCAGACUCCUACGGGAGGCAGCAGUAGGGAAUCUUCCGCAAUGGGCGAAAGCCUGACGGAGCAACGCCGCGUGGGUGAUGAAGGUCUUCGGAUCGUAAAACUCUGUUAUUAGGGAAGAACAUAUGUGUAAGUAACUGUGCACGUCUUGACGGUACCUAAUCAGAAAGCCACGGCUAACUACGUG